GAUGAACGCUGGCGUCGUGCCUAAUACAUGCAAGUCGAGCGAACGGACGAGAAGCUUGCUUCUCUGAUGUUAGCGGCGGACGGGUGAGUAACACGUGGAUAACCUACCUAUAAGACUGGGAUAACUUCGGGAAACCGUAGCUAAUACCGGAUAAUAUUUUGAACCGCAUGGUUCAAAAGUGAAAGACGGUCUUGCUGUCACUUAUAGAUGGAUCCGCGCUGCAUUAGCUAGUUGGUAAGGUAACGGCUUACCAAGGCAACGAUGCAUAGCCGACCUGAGAGGGUGAUCGGCCACACUGGAACUGAGACACGGUCCAGACUCCUACGGGAGGCGGCAGUAGGGAAUCUUCCGCAAUGGGCGAAAGCCUGACGGAGCAACGCCGCGUGAGUGAUGAAGGUCUUCGGAUCGUAAAACUCUGUUAUUAGGGAAGAACAUAUGUGUAAGUAACUGUGCACAUCUUGACGGUACCUAAUCAGAAAGCCACGGCUAACUACGUG
This 497-nucleotide ribosomal RNA is filed under the name uncultured bacterium. RNAcentral describes it as "partial 16S ribosomal RNA". It matches the Rfam family "Bacterial small subunit ribosomal RNA", at positions 28 to 507 of the family's 1533-position model. The record is from RNAcentral.